CAUCCAUCCAUCCAUCUAUCAGUUCAUCUGUCUGUCUUUUUUUGCAUCCAUCUGUCGGUCGCCUGUAUGCCUCUCCCUCUAUCUCUUUGUCUGUCUUUCUAUAUAUCUGUCUUACUCUCCUUCAAUCUUUCUAUUGAUGUGUCUGUCUGUUUGGAGUAUGGUUUAAUUUGUUGUCUUAGACUUUGCAUUGCUUUGUUUCUCCUAAUUUAAUUAGUUAAGUAAAGUUAAGUGUUUGUGUGUGUGUGUGUGUGUGUGUUUGUGUGUGUGUGAUAUCAAUGUCUUAAUGCAUCCUGAAGCUGGUGAAAAUGAUCUACAUGCCAUUUUGCAACCUUUAAUUGCAAUUAAACCACAACAGAAGCGAUCAAUGAGAGCCUGCUAACUAUAUCAGCUGUUUGUGUUUGCACACUUUGAGCAUUUUCAUCAUCACAGUCUCCUGUUAAACACCUCCAAACUGUCUUUCUCUUUAUUAUCUCUUGUCUUUCUCGUUCUGUGACUUUUCUCUUUGAAAUGGGUGAGAAUGAGAGCUUUCUCUUUCAGUCUUUUCCUCCGGGACGUGACAGAUGAGCCAGAGGAGGCCGGAGUGGCUGAUUGAUCGUGGGAAGUCUUGUGCAUUCAUCUCUGUCGCUGCCGUUCGGCCGAUGGCCGCCUCUAAACCACACUCUCUCUCUCCAGUGCUAAGCUAAGAGGUUUUCUGGCAAAUCUGAACACAGUUUGAAACAUCACUGAGAUCUCUUCUGAAACUAGUGGUUUUUCAGCAGAAAAACAUCUAAGAAGCAAAUUCCCCAUUUGCUUACUUUUAUCUCUUACUUUUAUCUAUUGAGAUGGCAAAGAGUUUUGUGGCUGUGAUUUAACUAUAUGUUAAAUACUAAACUCU
Molecule: long non-coding RNA, 874 nt
Organism: Carassius carassius (crucian carp)
Lineage: Eukaryota; Metazoa; Chordata; Actinopteri; Cypriniformes; Cyprinidae
Exons: 2
Source: RefSeq, a predicted model, not a curated record